This 43237-nucleotide long non-coding RNA is filed under the name Ananas comosus (pineapple). RNAcentral describes it as "long non-coding RNA (ACOM_LNC031073)". Lineage: Eukaryota; Viridiplantae; Streptophyta; Magnoliopsida; Poales; Bromeliaceae. The record is from RNAcentral.
UAUUAGUAGGUUGUACCAAAUAUGCGUCUAGUCAUCACACGACUAGCGCGACUCUUUGUAUCAUAUGUAUAUAUUUCAAUAGAAACCCUAGAUGGGUGCUCUACUUCCUAUCGCCAUUAGAUUCAAAGAAUUUCUUGUCCUCACAAACCUGAAGAAGAGAAUCAUGCAUAUUUGUUCCUUUCUGGGUUGGCGCAAUUAAAAGUGUUGUGUUUUUAAUUAAUCGCAUUCCUUCUCUUAUUGUUUUCCAAGACAAAUAAGACUAAUCAUUUGACCCAGCAGCAGUAUGCACAAUAAUUACUAAAGUGUCAUAGCCUCUUUUUCAGCAAACCUGUUCCCACUUCUCUCUCACCCACCAUUCAGCUCCUCUUCUCAUGAAGGCCGGUUACCUGCAGAUCCUUAUAUUUAUCGUUAGCUGGACGGUACAAUGCAACAUUUUACCUUUACUAGACCAAAUAUGUCCUGUGCUGUUAAUUUGGCUGCUCAGUAUUUGCAUGCCCCUAGAGAGCCACAUAUGCCAGCAGCAAAACGCAUUCUUUGCUAAGUUUGAGGAACAUUAUCUUCUGGUCUUCAUUUCGCUUGCUGCCCCACUCCUUCCCUUGUGGCUUAUCCUAGUGCAAAUUGGGCAGGUUGUCCAAAUACACGAUGUUCUACAUUUGGAUUUUGUAUCUUUUUUUGGCCUAAUCUUAUCCCCUGGUGAGCAAAGAAAUAGCCCACCAACUCUAGAGCCGACUCUAAAGUGGAAUAUCGUUCUGUUGCCUUCAUCCUCGGUGAGACUAUUUGGAUUAGUCGGCUUCUUCGUGAUCUUUGUGUUUCUUUAUGGCAACCGAUCUACAUUAUUGUAAUAACUCAGCACUAUUUAUCUUGCUGCGAAUACUGUUUCACAUGUGCCCACGAAAAAUAUUGAGCUUGAUCAUCAUUUUUUGCGAGAGAAGGUUCCGUCUACAAGUAUGUGCUUCUUUCAUAUUUCUUUUGGCAAGCAACUCGCCGACAUCUUUACUAGGUCCUCGUCUGUUUCUCGUUUUACCAUCCUACAUACCAAUAUUCACAUCCAUCCAAAGAUGCUCAGAUUACAGGGGCAUGUUAGCGUACUAUAUGUAUUAUAUAUCAGUAUAUCAUAUAUUGGGGUUUAACAUAUAUUGGUGUCUAGUCAUCACACAACUAGCACACGACUCUUUGUAUCUUGUAUACAUAUUUCAGUAGAAACCCUAGGUUGGUGCUCUUUUCGCUUCUCUACAGCACAUUGGAAAAGACAUAUAUCCGACAGUUUUUACAGCUGCAGGAUUCUAAAUAGCUUCACUGUUUUGUUGGUUUUGCCAUGCAAAUUUACAUUAGUUUACAUAAUUUAGUAGCAGGGAUCUAUACUAAAUUACUAUCUAUACUAAAUAGCUAUUUCAGCUAUCUUUUCCUCCUUUCUAGGUGUGAAGCCUCGACAGAAGAUAAAGGCAACCAGAUGACAGGAGAAUAGAAGCAGCAAAGCAGAAGAGGUCGAGAGGCGUAGAGAUUGUCACCUUCUUGCUCUUCUCAAAGAGGCCGACCAAUAAAACCGUGACUAUGACAUGACCCACCUUUGUCUUCAACUCGUUCACGGACUCUAUUUUUAACCAAUUUGGUCGUUCCUACCAGCAUAAAAGCAAGUGCACAGAUUUAAUGCAAAUCAAAUAUGAUUAGUGUUUGUAUAUAAGAUGUUUGAUGACAAAGUAGGAACAUACCCGAAGCCGGAACAAGCCAAGGAGGUUUGACCUCUGAACAGAUGUUUUUGCUACGUCGAGGUUGCUGAUGAAGAGCUCAUAGAGACCCAUACCAAAGACAAGCAUUACAGUUCCUAUGAGAUAAAUGUCUGCAAGUGAAACAAAAUGAUGAUUAGCUUUGUCACUCAUGCAGAAAUAACUGCAUUUCUUUGAAGAAUUUGUAAACAUUCUUACGGUUCAAACUUCAAACAUUUAUGUUGUAUACAGACUAUACAUUCUGAAUAUAAAAGAUGAUAUAUACCUUCAACCAUGUCGUUAAAUGAAUGUAUCAUGUCGUUGUAAGAAUGUUGAUUUACCCCUAGCUGAGAGGGUAAAUAAAAGAGGAACGAAUUUGUGCCAUACACAUGCAGAUCACGAGAAUCACGACAAUCUAAUAGGAUUUCUAGGGGCAACUAUUACUUUUUCAGAUUUGCCGAACUUUCCUUCUCUACCUUUAAAAUUUGUACAAACAUAAUAGAAAACCGCUAUUUUUAUGCCAACCCACUCCCUGCCUGACAAGUCAUCAUUACUCGAUAAUGGAAACAAUAAUAUCUCCCUAUCCGGAUGUGAAACCAGCAAGAGAUAAAAGCGGCUCGUAUUCCCUAAAUCAACCAAAUAAUAUCAUUUUGUGACUCGGAAGAAACUAGAAUACUAGAUCCAUUCAAGAAAUAAGAAAUCUAUUAUAUUCCAUGCAUGUCUCCAUCUCGCAUCAUGGAAGCCUUCUUCCCUAAGUAUAAUACGUAGAAAAAAAAACUGGAUGAUGAGAAGGAAGCAAAAAUAAGUAUUUAAUUUUAGCAAAAACAAGUAAUUAAUUUUUUUCAUCUUCCCGAGGGAAAACAUUACUAGACAAUAAGGAGACUUAGAUCUGAGCUAUAAUGCCAAAUGUUAGGCAAGUGUUGCAAUUUAGACUCGUGCAACCUAGGAUCAACUCCCAUAGAAGGUCCUCUGGACAUGGGAAUAGCCUAGUGAACAAAGAACUAUAUCUAUUUCCAAUUUAGCUAUUAUUCCUUGUCUCUCGGGGCCAGCUGAUCAAGCUUGCUAAAUGAAUAUCAAUCCCAUUAAUAUAUGUCGCCUUAUUCCCUUUGCUAUGCACGAAAUGCUUUAAGCAGUUUAACAGUUUAACUGAUUCGGCAAUAAAAGAUUCUUUUAAUCAUAGAUAGUAUCUUACGAUUACCACGGCCAAGUACACUUCUAUUCAUGUAACAUAAUAGUUUGUCGCAUUUGAUUGGUCUUACCAACGGCUUCCACUAGCAUCAAAAUCAGUUUUCCACUACUCAUGAAGUCCUCUGUGAAGGAGUUGAUCACAUAUCCACAACCCUGCACCAAUUGCUAGGUGUCAGAUGUAUUGCCAAGCGGCUGCAUAUCUUGAUUACUGAAGACACCAAUUGCUAGGAUUCAAAAAGAAGAAGAAGAAGAAGAAGAAGAAGAAGAAGAAGAAGCAAAUAACAAGAAAGAACAGGCAAUUAGAACCAACUCAGGCGGGAUAUAUCGAGCAACAAGCGGUAAGGCAUACUGAGACUCAGACAACGCUCGCAUCUAUAACAUGCCAUUAAAUCCUCACAUUCCUAUCUCUCUGUUAAGCUUUACAUAACAGUAAGUACUAGCAGAAUCAGCGAAGGCAUUCAUAGAUCAUCACUUAAAAUAAGCCAUUUCAGAAAAUUGGAGAUCAUGUCGGAGCACACUCUUCGUCCCAGGUUCUGCAGCUGCGGUACCUCAUCAAACUCUGCACCCUUCGUUACCGGCUAGAUGGUGUCAAUGGAGAGGGUUGUUGACAGGGGCAAGGAAAAAACUUUUCGAUCUCUGCUUUGCGGCGGGGUGUUGGGAGUUGUGGAAGGAGAGAAAAAGGAGAAUAUUUGACAAUCGAUUUGAAGAAAGCGACAAGCUGGGACGAAGAAUUCGCUGGACUGCUAACCAAUGGGAGCUGGCACUAGCUAGCUAACUGUGUCUAUUCAUUCAUGUUCAUGUUGGGUUACUAUGUAUUUUGGGAGCGUGGUUCUUCCCUUUUUUUUGAGAAAGAGGUAGCGCACUACCCUCUUGUAGCGUGGUUCUUCCUUGAAGAAACUUGUGGUUGGUUCGAUUUUUUUUUGGGGGGCUCUAUCUUAAGCCCGUGUACCUUCUUUUAAAAUAGGGUUUAACCCUGUUUAAUAAUAAUAAAAAAAAAACAAUAGUAGAAUUAUCAAAAGAGCUUGCUUAUCCAUUACUAUUACCAUGAUGGGCUGUAGUUUUAAGUAUUUAUAAUCGACGCGAAGAAAGACGGAGAAGAAUGUUUUGAAGAGCAGAGGUCGUACGAACCUUGAGGAAGCAGAGUAUGGAUCCCAUGAGAGAGCCGAAUACACCGAGGAACGUCAUGAAGCGGCCUGCGUAGAUCACCUGCGCAUGCACCUUUCAAUCCUCAGAAACGAAGAGAGAGAGAGAGAGAGAGAGAGAGAGAGAGAGAGAGGAGGCGGGGGGAAGAAGAGAAAGAAAGAAAGAGGCGAAGGCUUUGUCGAUCAUCUGCCUUUUCGACUCUCUCCUCGAGGCUUCUCGCGUCGCUUCUCGCAUCGACGGGAGGCCUGGCGACGAACUCCGGCCGGAGCUUUGAGGGCUCGGCCAUCGACGGAGGAGCGCGCGUGGAGGAGGAGACUGAGGAGCAGUUGAUCGGCCGGAGAAACGGGAGCCGCGGCGUCGUCGUCGUCGUCGUCGUCUUCCUCCUCCCCCUCAUCAUCAUCGAAGGAGAUGAAGAUGAAGAAGAUGAAGCAGCAGCAGCAGCAGCGAUCCUUUCCCUGCCCACGGAUCGUAUCCAUCCCCAUCCUCUUCCCGCCGCUGCUGGCGCAGCUGCAGCUGCUUCGGGAAGGAGCAGGCGCAGAGGCUUCAUGGAAUCUUUUCUUUCUUUUUUUAUUUUUUGGUUGGGUUGGGCUGUGGGCACACUCGGAGAGUUCCGAGGCGGGGGGGAGGAAUCUCCGAGGGGUGAGGAAUGGUGAUUGAUGCUGUGCGUGGGAAAUGAAAUGGAGCAGAAUUAAUAGGAGGAGGAGCGGAGCAAGCAGACGAUGCACUGAAACUGGACGCCGCACGAGAGUGGGCCAAGUGGAUCCGCAUCAUUGAAUCGCAGGGCGAAUAAUAUCGGAAUUUGUGGAGAACAACCCCACCACAUGGCUCCGUCUCUGCCAAAACGAAUGGGUUAAUCAUUGAUAUAAUAUAUAUAUAUAUAUAUGUCGCUCUCCCAUCAAAGUCUCCUAAGUCAAAUUUUAUUCUAAUUCCUUUCCAAAAAAAAAUAUCGAUAAAAAUUUUAAAAUUUAUCUCCACUAUCAUCUAUCGGAAGUUAACUGUCUACCAUUUAAAAAUUUUAAUUUUACUUACUGACUUUUUUGAAUAUUUAAUUUAAUUUGAGCUAAUAAGCGACUCUUUAAUUUUAAAAUUUGAAUGCUUUAUUUAUUUUUACAUUACAAGUUCGGUUAGUAUCUUUCAUAUAAUUUAUGUAACUAUAAAUUUAUUAAAAUAUGCGGUAAAUUUAAACUUUACAUAUAAAGAGCCAUUAAAUCACUUGAAUUAAGCAAAUUAAAAAAUUAUAUAUUAAAAUUAAAAUUUUGAAAUAUUGAAUAGCUUAAUUAGAAUCAGAAUGACCAAUUGUUCAGAUAAAUUUUAUACGUUACUAGCAAAAUUAUUCAUUGAGCAAAAAUACGAGGAUAUAUAUGCACUAGGUGUCGUUAAAUGUAGUUCUAUUGGAUCAUUUUUUUGGAUGAUUGGGCUAGUAAAUUUUAAAAAAUUAUAUAUUUGUGAUAAGUAAUUAAUAAGAUAAAAGUUGGCCAAUACUAUUGAUACACCUCAAAAUGAAGUACAUAUUCCGCUAAUAUUUAAUUUAUUUUGGAGUUAAUGGAGUAUAUAUUUUGCUAAGAUUUAAUACAUUUUGGAGUUGGAGAGAAAAUAUGAGAAAUGUAAUAUUAAAGUACCAGAUGUCUUUUCAUCCAAUGACCAUCACUUCUUUAUUUAUUGCAUUAGCUUUUUUUUAUUUAUUUAUACUAUAAUUUUUUUGAAUAUUUGUAAAUAUUGUAAGGGAAAGUGAAAGAUUUAUACCAUAUUUCAAAAAAAAAAUAUAUAUAUAUAUUAUAUAAAAACAAAAUUUUUUUAUAAAAAAUUGACAUCUACACAUAGGUGUACCCGUAGAGCAAUUUCCUCGUAUUUGAUACACUCCUUUUGUUUUUUUCGUUGAUUGGUCGGCCAGGUCUAAAACGAAGAUUCCAGGCAAGCAGCGAGGUGGCACAGCGUCCUCCCUCGGUGGCUCGGCGAAAUUUAAUUCGAUUAUAUUAUUAUUAUAAGAUUAAAUAAAAAAUAGAUUAAAAUUAUUGGACGGGGCCGGGACGUGGGGUCCACCGCAGCUCAUAGGAGGAGGAGGAGGAGGAGGAGGAGAGAGAGGCUCCGUGUGUCCUAUUCAGCACGCCACGCUUUGUGGACCGUGAGAAUGCGCGGGUGCUGGUGCGGAACAGCGGAAGGUUCCGCCGAUUACUUCGGGAAGGGCUCCAACCCGGACCCCGUCCGUCCUUUCUGUUCCCCCCUCCCGUCUUCCUUCCUCCAAAUCCAAAUUUGUUGCCGGUUCCAUUCCUCUCUCAAAAGGGGGAAACAAAAAAAAAAAGAAAAACACAUUCCCCCCGUAAUUACCGGAAUCAAAAUCGACCGAUCGAUCGAACAAGGGAUCUAUUCUCCCUCUCCCCUACCCUCUGUCUCUCUCUCGCCGCUUCUUCGUCUUCGUCUUCGUCUUCGUCUUGUUCUUGUGGGGUGAGAGAGAGGGAGAGGGAGAGGGAGAGGGAGAAAAGGAAGAGGGUAAGUAAGGAUGAGUUUCGAGGAUCUGGAGGCGGGGCGGGCGGUGCGAAUCGACGGGAGGAAGGGCAAGGAAUCCUCGCAGGCGGUGGCGUCGGGGGUCUUCCAGAUCAACACCGCCGUCGCCACCUUCCAGCGCCUCGUCAACACCCUCGGCACCCCCAAGGACACCCCCGAUCUCCGCGACAGGCUGUAAGUCCUUCCUUUUCUUCUUCUUCUUCUUCUUCUUCUCGUCCUCCUCUCGCCCCAGCAAUCGCUUCGCUUAAUCGAUCUUUCGGAAUUGCCACCUAAACAUAAAUUACAAUGAAGGAAAAUUUAAGCAAGAACAAUAGCUUCUUUGCCGAAAGAGUAAUCUAGGUCUUCUGCCCUUUCGUCCUGCAGACGAACAUAAUGAAUCCGAACACUUAGGUUUUGCCUAAUCCUGUGAAACCAGAUUCUGAAUUCUUAGGCUCACAAGCCCUAGAAUCCCCUGGCUCAUUGUGCUUGGCGAAUGCGCCUCUCCUGGGCCAUGGCAAGGUGUUGCCUUGUCAAGUAGUUCCAACCGUACUUUUGUGCCGAUUAGAUAUAUUAUUUGACGAUUUGUGGAUCGGCUGAUGUUUGCUGUCGGAUUGAAUUGUACUUAUUUAUGAGCCGGUGCGAAAGACAGGUGAGAUAGGGUGGGUGCGUACUUUUUGAGUUUUCGAGCAUUUAGUAUGCCUCGAGGUCUGUUUUGGGGGAGUCGGGAUUCACAAGAAUCUCAGAGUGCAUGUAACAGGGGGAAGGGAUUUGUAAAGUUGCCACUAGUGAAAAGCCGGCGCUUUCAAUAGCAUUUGAGCGCAUCCUUUUCCUUCAUUCUCCUUUCUCGCGAGGAAGGUUAUACGGCCUUUUGGCACUACUGUACGGUGUCGUGCUGUUUGAUGAAUGCGAUCAGUAUAAGUGUCGGCCGCUUUUUCGUCGAAGUGCCCCCUAUCAUCUCUUUGCUCUAAUAUCUCUUUGCUGUAGAAGCAGCUUCUGCUAGGAUCUCAUCUUUAGCUUCCUGCAUUGGCUGACGCUCCAGUCUUUUGUUCACCGGCCGAACGCCUAUUAGAGGUGGCUGCAGCUGGAAGAAAAUCAGAACUUAGGCCAAAUAGGAACUUUUUUUAGUUCACAAUUUUGAAGCACAUAACUUAAUUGUUCAAGUAUCUGAGUGUGCAUUUGAUGUUCAUGGCUAAAAUAUUGUUUAAACUUUGGUCGUCACUUUUAACAGUCCUACGGACAUGCAAUUCGCGAACUAUGCUCAUAGCUAAAAUAUUGAUCAAACUAUGGACAUGCGAUUCAUGAAGCGGUUCUUUUGCAGUUUCUUGCUAUACUAUGUACUCUUGCAGGAAAACAACCUUCACACCCUUGUACUGCCUUAAGAGCUUUAGAAUUACUUGUCCUAGAGUGUUCAACUUUGUUUUAUAUCCGUUUUUCCUUACGAUUAGCUUCUUGAAUUUUUGUACAAUUGAAUAUGGUGGUAUCUUAUUUAUAACUGUAAGACUCUUGUCCAAGCUUCUUUGUAGGCAUGCCGAAUUUAACUAUUCACUUUCCAAUGUGGUUUGUUUUUCCAAGUUAUGAAGGACCUACGUGUUCUACCCUUUUCUCUGUGAUGCUGUUAAUUCACUUAUGUACUUAUCUGCUUGCUAGAAAAACCACAAACAUAUUGGACAGUCAUACUAAACAUUGGUUUCUUGAAGAUUCUAGGAACUUUUUUUUCUUUUAUUAUUGUGCUUAUGCCAUCUAGCUAAAUAUUGUGCCGUCCAAUUAUGUUGAUACCAAACGCUGCAUUUUAUCUAUGUGAAUUUUAUAUCAAGUUUGUGAACCUCAAGUGUAAUUUAUUGUAGAUUUUACCACGUUGCUUAUAGUGUGGAUUUGUUGAUCUAUAGCUUCAACUUAUUUUGUGGGCAGGCACAAGACAAGGGCACAUAUCACACAACUGAUAAAAGAUACUUCAGAUAAACUUAGACAAGCUAGUGAAGCAGAUCACCGAUCUGAAGUCAGUGUAAGUGCUGCUCCCAAUUUACUUUAAGCUACUUGUUUUAAUGACAAUGACUUGAACUACAAGUACAUGUGUGUUAUGAACUAUUUUCCUUAUGUUAUGGUUCUUGUUAUAAAUAAUUCAGUUUCCAAUACAUUUUGUUUAUCGGUGAGAACAUUUUGUUGAUGCCUGAGCAAUCGAUGUUUGGAAUCAAGUUAGCAAUCUCUGGUGUUGGAAUGAGAAUUAAUUGCUCGUUUUUCCUAUAUUUUUCCAGGGAAAGUGUAUAAGGUCACCGAUAACACUAAAUAUUAUAUAGGGGACUUAUGAUGCUAGAAGUGAUUGAGACUGAAAUAAGUGUAUGCAUCAUUAAGGAUUAAAUAGAAGGUACUUAAGCGACUAAAAUAGUGAUGAAGGACAAUUUACAGGGUUUUUCUAAUAAGACUUUUGUAAAGAAUAUAGGAUCAUAAUAUGUAAUGAUCAGGGUUGUGGAAAUUUGUUGUUCACAUAAUAUUUGAGCAUGAAUUUUGAGAACUUUAGCUGCUAGUCAAGAACAAUAAUAGUUUUCUUUUUCUUUUUCUUUUUUUUUUGUGUAUGGUGAAAUCAUAAUUAAACUGAUAAAGUCGUGCAUAUUCAAGAUUCAAUAAGAUUGUCUGACAAAAAUUAAUUCGACCGAUAACAUUUCUAUAAGAACCUUGUAAGAAAUUUUUCGUUGUCCUUAAAAAUCAUUAAAGAUUUAUGCUCAAAAUUUUCCUUUCACAGAUCAAAAUCUCCCCAAUUAAAAUUGGUUCUUGAUGUAGUUCUGUACAGUUGUGAUGGUUGUUCUGGACAUUGAUGAGUUUGUUGAUUUUGGUGGAUUUCUUUCUUUUUGAAUGAUAACAGUAGGGUUUAGGUUUAAUGAAUUUGGAUAGUAGGAUGGUAUAGUGACUGCUUUGAGAUGUAAAAGCUGGAAUUCAGUUGAACAUCCUGAAGGCUGUAGACUGGGAUAGUCAACUGAUCAACAUAUAAAUCCCACUUAUUACAUUCAACUGAUCUAUUGAUAUACAUUAGGGACUUUGUUAAUCUCGUUGAGUACUUAUCCUUUCCUUGUGCCUUAAGGUGAGUUUGUAAUUGCAGGCAAGCAAAAAGAUAGCUGAUGCAAAGCUUGCGAAGGAUUUCCAAUCAGUUAUGAAAGAGUUCCAGAAAGCUCAGAGGCUUGCUGUAGAGAGAGAAACCGCAUAUGCCCCUUUUGUUUCUCAAGCAGCUCUUCCUCCAAGGUGAUUUAUUGAUUUGCACUGUUAAUUCCAGUGUUCUUAUGAAGCCAGCUUAUCUCUUAGAUUUAGUUGGAAUUAGCUGUUCACAUGUUUAUUCUAGUCUAUGCUGGCAUCUAAUUAAAUCUAUUUCUAUCUCUCUGACAUAAGUGGAAGUACUCUCUUUCAUGGCUUGUUCCCUGGAUUUCAUGAUCAUUGUGCAAAUAGAGGGGAUUCAAUCUUCGUUUAAAAAAAAAAAAAUUCUUCUUGAACUUUAUGGCUUAUGCUUUCCCCAACAAGUUCUGCAAUGCACUGUCUUCACCUUCUUCAUUCUUGUGUUUGCAUCCUGCGACAUUCUUGCCUCUUUACAUGUUCAUCUGUACUAAAGAUAAAUGGCAUAACUCUUCUUUUUCCUAAAAAUGGUUGGACAAAUGGGUGACUAAUGCUUAUUACAGUUUUAGUGGAGAUUUUUCAGUAUUGUGCAUGUUUGUUGCUGCUAAUGCUUAAAAUUGCAUACCUUCUACUAAUUGUACAUCUAUGGUUGCAUGUAUGAGUAUAUGAAAGUUAAUAGCUGAAACAUAACGCUUUGAGUUGUUAUUUUCGUGCAGCUAUAAUCCAAGCGAGUCAGGCAAGACAUCAGACAAGUCCAGUGAGCAACAAGCAAUGCUUCUAGAAUCUAGAAGGUGAGUCAGAUGCCUGUCUUUUAUUUUUUGCUGUAAAUUAUGCAGUUACUUAUAGUGAGUUAGUUAAAAGGUCUGAUUGUUUUUCUUAGCUUUCUCAUGCUUUUGUUUUCUAUAUAUUCUUCUUGGGAACCUCGCAAGUCCUUAUGCAACAGUCAGAUUUUACUUUGACGUUCAAGGCUACAAAGCUUAAUUUCGUUUUUUUUUCCGGAAGUGCUUAUUUAUCUGUCAUGCCUUAAAGCCUUAGCAGUUUUUAGUGCACUGUCUGUCUGACUUCUUUGCAAAUGAUAAGCUGGUGCUUGAUUUCCUUUGAAUCAUAUAAUUAAAACUUUUGCACCCUUCUUGAAAUUUGAUGUCCAUUAAAGAGAUAUUUAUUUUGGGGAAAGCUUCUGUUCUAUUAUGUGGAUGACGUUUAGGGGUGAGCAUCGGUCGGUUCGGUUCGGUUUUUGCUGUUUUUAUCAAAAAUGAAUUGCACCGAAUCACUAACACGACCAAACUAUACUGAACCAAAAUAAUUCGGUUGGUUCAGAUCGGUUAACUCGGUUUCAAUAGAAUAUUUUUAUUUGGGUUAAAAACUUGUUGAAGUACUAAAAAUAGGCUUUAAGCAUGAUUAGUUCUAUAUUACAAUCUUUAAUUUGAAGAUAAUAGUGUUUAAAGUCUCUAAUUAUUUGUUUAUUUUCGAAGGCCAAUGUAUAUUUUUUAAAAAAUUAAGACUAAUAUGUAUGAAAUUGUCAAAUAUUCAGUUAAAUCGGUUUGUUUCAGUUUUUCCCGGUUUUCAAUUUUCAUAACCAAACCAAACCGAAAUGCUUACAUAAUUGAACCGAACCAACCAAAAAAUUGGGGCGGCUCAGUUUGGUAAUUCAGUUUGAACCAAAUAGUGCUCACCCCUAAUGACGUAUACUUCUGCAGUCAAGUACAUUAAGAUCCAUCAUUAGGCAUUUUUUGGGCAUGCAUCUUGCUUACGUAACUUACGCCAAAUUCUUUUUUUUCUGUGUUUACUUUACUGGUACAGACAAGAGGUGCUUUUUUUGGAUAAUGAGAUUGUCUUCAAUGAGGCCAUCAUUGAGGAGAGAGAGCAGGGCAUACAAGAGAUUCAGCAGCAGAUCGGCGAGGUCAAUGAAAUCUUUAAGGACCUUGCAGUCCUUGUCCAUGAUCAAGGAGCUAUGAUUGGUAAUUCAUAGCCAGUUCCACUUCUUUUGCUGUGCAUCUGUUGUCUUUGUCUAAUAUGUGAAGUAUUUUCCUUGUAGAUGACAUUGACUCCCAUAUCGAGAGCUCUGUUGCAGCAACCGCGCAGGCGAAAACCCAGCUAUCAAAGGCAGCCAAAACUCAAAAGUCAAAUUCAUCUCUGGUAUGUUAGCUGGGCAUUUCCUUUUCUGCGUGUAUCUGUUUCCGUCAAUGCUAUUAUUGUUUGAUAAACUGUUUGUUUUUUAAAUUUAUUUACUGUUACAGGUGUGUUUGCUGCUGGUGAUUUUUGGGGUUGUAUUGCUCAUCGUAAUUAUAGUCCUCGCUGCAUAGUAUAUGUGGAUAGUGAUUGCUAUUCUCAUUCUCAAGUUUAAUGAAGUAAUGCGUAAGAAAGUGUUUGCACUUCCCAAGUAUCAUACCCUCUGUAGUGGAGGCCGUGUCUUGUUUGUGACUUGGUGUUGGUAUACAAGAAUAUAUUAUUUGCAUAAAACUGUUUUAUUUGCUUUGUUCUGUGGUUUAUGCUUACAUUCUCUAUGUUUUAAUAUUUAGGCAAUGCAUGCCCGCGGGGGCAAGCAUUGCACUGUAUCGACGAUGAUCGUUGUAAUUAAGAUUCUUAUAUUUUUGAGUGGCAGGCGUGUUAGUUGUAGAUGAAUUACGCUGUUGUCAUAUAAUUUACACUUUUAGGCAAAGUUGAAGAUGACAAACCGGAUCACAGGAAGAAAAUGGGAAUACCUGUUGUAACAUAUAUUAUUAUAAAGCUCCCUUUCAGAAAAAAGUGAUAUAUAUAUAUAAUAUAUAUAUAAUAAAACUAUACGUAUAUAUAUAUAUAUAUAUAAAAUUUAUAUUUACGACAUCUUGAUUUGUUCUGGUAUUGCAGCUUCAGGGGUUUUCCAGUGCUACUCUGUUAUGUGUUCAUUUAGUUUCAGAAUAGUCUUUCUAUUAAGAAAAGUGUUAUUUAGCUCAAUACAUGUACAAAUUUUUGCAAUCGAACACUAUUCGAACUUAGUUGUUCCUCUUCCUGCACUGGCAAAAACAUUUAACCUACAAAUAGAUGGUUGGGCUGUUUUUGAUCUGCUGCAAGUAACACAUUUCUGCAAUUUUGCACACAGUUACUAGCAGCUCCUCUUUUAAAGUUUUUUGAAAAACAAUUUUGAUGUUCUUCCAGUUUGCAUCAUGAAAUCUAGGGAUAUUUUUGCACAUCCUCAAGAAUUAAUUUGUGGCGUAGGAUUUGUAUCAAUCAUCCAAUCCAAUUGAGUCGUAAGAUGAUUAAAAGCCUAAUCAACUAUGUAGUAUGGAGAAUUAAGCUAGGCUGAAGCCAGAAUAGUUAGGCUGAUUUUUUAGGCAAAUCACAUCAAUUGCGCAUUGGAUCCAGGUCACUCUCUUUCGGUGAAACAGCGCAACAAGCACUAACUAUAGGAAGAAUCAUUGAGCACAACAUUAUAGUUCAUGACAGUGGUGUUAUAUACGAUGGAAUUUAUUGUUUAUUGCUGCAUUAGCUGUUCCGUUGCGACAAAAGAUGUAUUUUUUAAGCGCUCGCAGUAAAGGUAAUAAAGCACUAUAAUGAAGAUCACCCCCACCUUCAGAGCAGCAAACCGAGAAUCCUGGGAAUCUUCCUGAUGCCAUGAAAUUUAUGGUGUUGCAACUUGCAAGUGAGCUCCAAGAAGUUGUGCUUGUGUAUGUAUUGAAGCCUCCCAUGCACUUAAUCUGUUGGCCCUAGCCACCGCUCAAAAUGCUAUAAUUGGAUUAAGAGUUUUGGUCCUAUUAUAUCUUAUAUAUAGGACUACUUGAACUCUCACAUUUUGCCCCCUUUAAGCCCUAACGUCCUCGUCUCGCUCUCCCCGCUGUAUAAUUUUGGCUCAACAGAAACUUAUCUCACAAUUCCGGCUGGUAACUGGCUCUGAUACCAACUGUGAUGCCUCACUUUUCAGGAGGUUAUCCAUUUUAGGACUACUCUAGUCCUAAUAUACUUAACUCUCUUAAGCUCUUGGCCCUAGCUACAGCUAAGAGUUUUAGUUUUAUUAUAUCUUAUAUGGAGGAUUAUCUGGGUUCUCACAUCUCCACUUAGUAUUCUCUUCUAGAAAUCAUUAUGUGGAAGCAUCUUUUGAAGGAAAAUGAUUAAAUACUACGCUUUUAUUUUUCUAAUUAUUUCUUUGGGAGGUGCUGGGGUUGCUGAUUGAUACCCAUUGCUGGAAAUCAAUAGGUCUUGGGUUCAAGCCCGACUGUACCCUUGAAAUCAGAGCUAUGGGAGGUAGCCUGCAGGCUUUAAGAAUGUUUGUGAGGUGCUGCAUGUGAAUGCAUGCUGAUGCUGCUCAAAUCUUAGUUCUUAUUUUCCUGGAAGAACCAACCUUAAUUUGGAUGUAAUGUGCUAGCUAGAAUGGACCAAAAUUGGGAGUUACUGCAGGGUUUCUUUUAAGAAAGCCUAAGAUGGUAUUCUUUUAUGCUCUCUUUUCUGGCUUCUGAGAUGCUUCAAAGUACUAAAAAAAGGUAGUCUACAUUUGGCAAGCCUAGCAUGUUUUGGAGGCAGAUGGUCCACUUUUGGCUGCUCCUUUCUUACUUCAAGAGUAAGCUUGGAAUAUCUGUUCUUGCUUGUUUAAUAAGCCUUCUUAAAGAUUAAAGAAGGGUGAGAAAGAGAGAGAGAGAGAGAGAGAGAGAGAGAGAGAGAGAGAGAGAGAGAGAGAGGCCAGAGAAUGCCAUUUAAGGCAACCAAGUGUUGACUCUCUUAUGCUCAUUCUGAUUCUUGUUCUGAUUCCCACCAUGGAUGGAUGGAUUUGAGGAUAUCUUCCUUUCUUCAUCCAAUUAAUUAUUUGCUUUAGUUGUCAAUUUGUGUCAGUGCCUCCUUGGACAAUACUCCUUUUUCUUCAAAUUGCACAUGCAAAGCACUAAUAAAAGAAUUGAAUAUUUUGUAUCCAUAUGUUAUAUUGUUGGUGUGUGCUUUAGGCUGGGUUCUAUCAUGAUCAUUCCUAGAGGUUGCGCUUUCACAAAGUUUGUGCUGAAGCCCUUUUGUUACAUUGUUUUACUUUUUCAAACUCACCUUUUUUUAAUACAAUGUUCAUUUUUACAUUUUAGUUUUCACCCUAUUAGCAUUACAGCUCAAAUGCUCCAUCAAGGUGUUAGGAACCAGGAUUAAAGAAAUAUAUGCAGCUAGCUAGGAAUUGAAUCACAUCGGCAUAUAUGGACAAGUCAAACUAAGGGGGACCUCAUCUCUUAUAGAUCACAUGUUGCAUUUUUAAAUCGACCUACCAUUAAAAAUUUGGGUUACAGUUGUAUUUGUGCUGGAUUUCAGAUGGUUUGAUGCGAUAAAACUAAUUGGACGCGCAUUCCAAGCAAAAAAUUUAACGAUGGAAGUUCGGAACAGAACAAAAUUUUGGAGCAUGACACAACUUGUACGAUCUGUUUAACUCUCCGUUCCAUGCACAUGAACACUUUUGGAGGUGUGAUCAGAAUCAUAUGAAUCAAUCAUUACAGAGCAAGAUUUGGAUGAUUCACACAUAUUUUGAGACAGUUUCCUUAAUACAAAAGGUUACUCUUUUCGAUUACCUAAUCCUAUCAUUGCAUUUGCAUUCCAGUUUUCUAGUUUUGGGGAUAGAAGGUGGUUUAGGCCAUCUUCUUUUCUUUCUAUGAAUAAAUGUAUCUACUUGUAAAGUCAAAAGGCAAGAGUGGUACAUUGUCAAGCAAUGCGGCAGCUUUGCAAAAGGAGUCCCCACUCCAAAUCUUCUUCCUUGCCCCUUCACUUUGAUGCAGCUGCUUCUCCUACUUUUGACCACCGGAUCAUGAUUAAUAGAACUCUGUGGUGCAGCUUAGUCUUGGUUGGCAUAUAUAUUAUGGACUCCGCUCGGACCAACACUAUCUUUGAAUUUUGAGAUAUCUGUGUAAUUCUAUUUAUUUUAAUGUCGGUGCUCACCUAGCAGACCGAAAUAAAUAGCAAUGAUUCUUCUAUUGUACUCCUCGAAGAAGAAAAGGUCAGUAUCAUUUGUACAAACAAGCGGAAAAUGUAUGGACAAGCUCUUUAGACCCUAUUUGCUAAGUUGUAAAAGCUAACUUACGCGGUUUGAACAUUUGAUAGGAUAUAGAUGUUUUAUCUUAUCCGAAAAAAUAACUUAAAUAUCGUAUAUAAUAUCCAAUUUGAAUAUUUGAUCAUGCUUUUAAAUAAAUUAUAAAAAUAUACUGAAUAAGAUACUCAUACCGUGACUCAAACACUUUGAUAUCUCUAAUUCCUAAUGAUUCAAAUGGUAUAAUUUAGGGAACUGAGGUGUGAAUUGAGAUUAAUUUUUUAUGAGAGCUAAGAAUGAAUGAUUUGUAAAGUUGUAGUAGAGUAGUGGAGUAUUAUCCGGGUCUGAUCUGGUGGGAUCUGAUCGGAUCCGAUCCAAUUCGAGACGUAGCUUUUGCAUCUAGAUUCUUCCGCCACGUGUCGCCAUCUACUCUUCCCGUUUCUUUCGCAGCAUCAAUAAAUGCCCUCCUCCUCAGCCGCUCCCUUCCCCGCACCCUAAUUCCUCUUCUUCCUCUCUCUCUCUCUCUCUCUCUCUCUCUCUCUCUCUCUCUCUCUCUCUCUCCCUCCUCCUGUGUGGAAGUGAGAAGUGGGUGGUGAUGGCGUUAAUGGCGGUGGGCUAUUAGGGUUUUUGGUCGCGGCCGCCUCUGACUCGCUUGGUGCAGGUCGGGAACGCUUCGAUCUGAUUUUUUUUUUUUUUUUUUUUUUUUUUUUUUUUUUUUUUUUUUUUUUUUUUUUUUUUUUUUUUUUUUUUUUUUUUUUUUUUUUUUUUUUUUUUUUUUUUUUUUUUUUUUUUUUUUUUUUUUUUUUUUUUUUUUUUUUUUUUUUUUUUUUUUUUUUUUUUUUUUUUUUUUUUUUUUUUUUUUUUUUUUUUUUUUUUUUUUUUUUUUUUUUUUUUUUUUUUUUUUUUUUUUUUUUUUUUUUUUUUUUUUUUUUUUUUUUUUUUUUUUUUUUUUUUUUUUUUUUUUUUUUUUUUUUUUUUUUUUUUUUUUUUUUUUUUUUUUUUUUUUUUUUUUUUUUUUUUUGAAGUUACUGCGAUCAAAAGCGAAUCCCGCCUUGCACCAACUGAAUCGGAGGCGGCGAAGCGAUCCCAUGUCGAUUUCUUCUUCUUUUUAAUCGUCCACCGCUUCUCAAGGGAGGUCCUUCUUCUACUGCUUCUUCUUCCUAACCCUUGAUUCGGAUUAUUAUUUUUGUUGCUUUUUUGUGUAAUUGGUUCUCGAGAUCUGACCUGAUUAGUUUGUGUUUUCGAUUGAUCUACACGGAUUGCUGUUCCAAACCAUCAGAUCUCGACUAGAUGAUGCGAUACCAUAACUGCUUACUACUUAUAUGCUGCAAAAGAUCUCGUUUUGAUUGAAAAUUUGUUUGGUUCUUUUUUAUGUGUAUUUUUGUUGUUUGUCCUAAGCUCUCGAAAUUGUGCAGGUAACAGGAUUGCGGAUUGAUCAUCCUUUUUGGAUGCAUGAACAUCUUUUCUAGCAUAUCUCGUUGAUUUACUCAAACAACUUGGUAGUAGUUUGUAGAGGAGGAGUGUGAUCGAAUCGAAUGUCUAAAAUAGAAUACCAUAUUUGGCAUUCAAAUUAUUUUUAGUAUAAGAUAAAUCUCCUUGCCGGUGAAAUAUGCUAUCCUACCAUAUUACGGAUGUAGAGGUCUUUCAGGGAGCAAAAAUCAAACUGCGUGCUUGUCAAUCAUACAAAAAAAUCGUCAUACCGAAUAAGUUAUUAUUGGAUAUCUUAUUUUGACAUCCAAAACAGGGUGUAAAGGUUUUAUUUUCAUUUUGUUCCGCAUCUGCUAUACUCCUAAUUUGGAAUGUCCAAGCUUGUUUUUCUGCUUAUGAUAAUGUCUUGAGACUGCAGAGCAUAUAUCAGUAUUCUUUCUUUAGUGCGUCUCAAUCUUAAGUUUUGUACUGCUUCUUGAAUUGUGCUUAUUUAUAUCACUAGAGCUAUCACAUACUCUACAUCCUCUGCCGGGUUAGGUAUAGCUUAAGAUAUCCUCUUAAGUUGCACAAGGCAUCAUUUUUCUUGUGUUUAAUUGUUUUUCACUUUUGACUGAUCAUUUCAGAUUGUUGAAAUGCUCUCAAUCUUUGUUAAUGCUCUCAGUCUUUGUUGAGCCACCAUAACAAUAAUGUGCCUGACCAGGAACAUUAUUGUUCUUGUUUGUUUGCUCAAGCCUCUCUCCAUAGUUAAUUUAAUUUGGCAUGUAAUCUCCUUUUGUUUAGUUUUCAGGUUAAUGUCUAUGUAAUCGGCACCUCAAAAUUAAGGUUAUAGACAAUUGCCAUUCUGAAUACAAUCUAAUGAUAUCCUGCAAUUCCUGGUUCAUAUAGAUCAAAUGCACUUUGUAUUACUUGUGAUUUAAUUUUAUUUCUUAUUAGUCCUCUUGUUCUCUCCACCUCUCUCCUUCCAGUCUGAGAAUUGUUCCUGUGAAAAUGUUCAGUUGUCUUGUUUAUGAAAUACGUUGAAAUCUACUAUAUUGAGAAAUGUAAUUUUUAAUAUUUGCUCUCUGGUUGAGUUAUACCUAGUUCAAUACCAGUCAAACAGGUUCAGCCAACUUGGUAAUAGCGAUAGAGAAUAUUCUAGUCAGCUUCCUCUAUAUUCAGGUGUCAAUCCAGUCCAAGAGAACAUAACCCAUAGACUAGUUGGAUAGGGUCUUGAAACGGAUGCAAUUAUAAUAACAAAGCAAUCAGCAUUAGAACCAUCAUAACCUUUAAGGAAUAUUAGAGAAGUAGAAAAAUAAAUUGAUUUUGAAGAUAGAUUCCCAAGGUGUUUUGAAAAAAGGAAUGGGAUCUAGAUCUUCUGAUUCAAAUGAAUUAAACAUUUUGGAUCUCAAAUUGAAUGUACAUUAAAAGUUCUUAAAGAAAAUGUCGAUAAAAGAAUUUUUAAUUCAAUUUGAGAUCAAAAUGUUUAAUUCAUUUGAAUAUGAGGUAUUCAACUCCAGAGAUGAAUCGAAAAAGAAAUAAGGCAAAUCCCCUAUGAUACACCAUAGAUGAAUCGAAAAAGAAAUCUUUAUUGGUUCUACCUCCUCUUUUUUAUGAAGAGAAUGAAUCUUUUUAUCAAAGGAUCAGAAAAAAACCGGUCCGGAUGCAGGUUAGAUUCCAAAAUCUGAAUGCUGGUUGAAUCUUUCACUGUGACUGCAUUGUGUCUAAAUCAAAAGACAAUUUCUUCACCUUGUUCCAAAUCCUUUUUUAGUGUUUCACGGUACCAUAUACAUCCUCUUAAACUUCUUUAGAGCUUUGUGCAAAUUUAAUAUUGAAUGUUUGUUUUCCGAUGGUUUAAGAAUUAUUGGAAUUUGUCAGUACUAUUAUGAGCAGUUAUUACACACAAUAGGGUAGCCAGUAUAGUUGGUGGCGGGCAUUAGAAAUUGAGGCUGGAACUUAAAUAUUUUUUAUCUUUCCUGAUACUGGUCAACAUAUUUUCAGCAACUGUCCUCUCUGGCUUUUGCUGAAAGGAAUUAAUCAUGACUUUAUUGACCAAAUUAGGAAAUCUGGCAAAGGUUUUUUUUUUUUUUUCUGGAUAAAGCCAGACAAGUGACGCGUCUGUCCUGUUAUUAGCAUUGCUCUUUCUGUGUUUGCAAGCGAUGCCAAAAUUUGGCAUGAAGUGUUAAAGCCAUGACUAUUAUACUAAUAAGGUCAUAUUGCGAAAUGCAGUGCUCAUUUUGUUGAUAUCACAAAGCUAUUGUGCAGCAUGUAUUUCUUACUUUAAUACAUUCUUCUUGUCGCCAACCUAUACUUAUUUCUGGGGCAGCAUACAGCAGUGCCUUGUGCAUUUUCCUAGACUAUAGCCUUUUGUAGACUGCGAUGACCGGCAAAAUGAAGUUGAAGCAAGGGAAAGAAAAGUAAAAGGCUUAAUUACACCAAGUUUGCAGCAUGUAAGCAUCGUACAGUGACCUUUUAAUGGAGCUGGGUGGAAUUAAUGAAGCAAUCACUGCAGUCUUCAUAUGGAGGUUGAGUAUUUCAUUGAGCUAUAGGAUGUUUUUUGUUUCUCUGCCCUGCUACAGGAUGUUUUUGCUUUUCUUGUCUUUUAGCAUGAUCCUGCAUUAUUCUACCUAUUUGUUUUGGCUAAUUACCAGUGUUCUCGAUCAUCACCAGCACAGUAAAGAAUGUCCUGAUAGCCUGAAGGCUUUUAUUCCUUUCUUUCAUGGGAGAUAUCGAAUCUGAAAUCACUACUCUGGCGUGAAAUCAAAUCUGAAAUCAUUUUCCUGUUGUGAAGGAGAUUUCUGUUUUGAAGGCUUUGCCUCCUAAUCAUUUUGUUGAUCCAGCUUUAAUCACGGUACUUAUUUUGACACUGGGGAUCUUAUUCAGAUUUGCGGUGUAUCAUAUUUCUAUUAUGUGUGGUUACCAGGGUAUCUGGACAUGCCCCUCUCGGAGGGCUGCAUUAUUGUUCUUGAAAAUGGUGCAUUUAUUGUCACAGUCCUUUCAACUUAAUUGCUCUUGUGUUGAUCUUUGGAUUUCGUCGAAAUUCAUUCAGUGGGACUCAGUGCAUGAGCCACGACCAGAAAAGCUACUGUUGAUUCUAAACCUAUCAGAGAUGUAGCACAUUUUGCAGCAAUGUUGUCAUUUUAUUCGUAGAGUUUAAUUUCAUACAAGUUCCUAUAAAUAUAGUGAAUUGUAAAUAUAUCUCUAUAAAGUAGGACAUUUGUAGAAAAGGAUACUGUUGAUUCUAAACCUAUCAGAGAUGUAGCACAUUUUGCAGCCAAUGUUGUCAUUUUAUUUGUAGGGGUUAAUUUCAUACAUGUUCCUACAAAUAUAGUGAAUUAUAAAUAUAUCUUUAUAAAGUUCAAAUUUCAUGUUUUAUUCCAGCAAAAGUCCUAAUAUUUUUAAAUAUGUUCCUUUGGCUUGUUUUCGUUAAAAUACAGUUUAUUUUAUAAGUGAAAUAAUAUUUUUGUCAUCACAAAUAUAUCCUUUCAAAAGUUUCAAUGGUUAAUUGAAGAGUGAUAAAAAGGUUAAUUCAUCUUAUUAACUAACUAUGGUUAAUUAUUUUAUCUAUAAUUAAGUAAUUUUUUCUAACGGAUUCUAACAGUAAGGAUAUAUUUGAAAAUAUCAAGACUAUUAUAGGGAUAAUAUAUGAAAGUUGAACUUUGUAGGGAGAUAUUUGUAAUUUAUUAUGUUUGUAAGGAUGUGUAUGAAAUUAACUAUUGUUUCUAUUGUAUGGGUGUUUUGAGAUUGCUAUUUCAGGUUCUAUAAUAAUGUUUUCUGUAGUUCAAUUAGAUUUUUUUGAUUGCGUCCAGAUUGGAUCAUUGAUGUAAAUUCAGCUCGAAACCCACACCUGAAACUGUAGCAGGUUUCAGGUGGAGUGUACAUGAAAAUCUGAUCCCAGUUCAAACCAACUAAGCGGAAUAGCAGCCUUGAAGUACUGUACUGAUAUUAACAUACUAUUUUUCUAACUUCUAAAACUGCACUUAGUUAAGAAACAUGCCAUGCAUCAACAGUAAUAAAGAUUUAUGCCCUACCGUCCAAAGGUUAAUGUACAUGAGCUUGUUUUAUCAACGGUUUUUUUUUUUUUUUUAUAUUUUGAAAUACCAAAAACUCAGUAGGGGUUAGGGAUGCAAACGGGGCGGAUCUGGGGGCGGGAGAGUUCCCCCACCUUCUGCUCCAUUUCUUAUCGGGGCGGGGCGGAUUCGGGACGGGUUGCUUUUCAUUUUAUUUUUGGCUCCCACUUACCGCUCCAUUCGGGGCGGAUCGGGGCGGGAGCCGGAUUUUUGACGGAUCGGGGCGGAUUGAAAGAAGAAAAGAGUCUCCCACCUCCCGCUCCAUUUACUUGGCGGAUCGGGGCGGAUUCGGGGCGGGUUAUAUUUUUUUAUAUUUUUGUUCCCACUUACCACCCCAUUCGGGGCGGAUCGGGGCGGAGCUCCACCAACCUGGAUCCAUUUGCAUCCCUAGUAGGGGUUUUCAAAUUCUUGGACAAUGGAUGUAAGAUGUAUGUCCUUCUAUUUAAUUGAAGUUCAAGUAAUUUUUUUUUCCCUUUGCUAUUUAUUUGAUAGAAAGUCAAUAAUUUUGAAACUUUAGUUAUUUUUAUUUCUUUAAUUUAAUUUACUGGAAAAAGUUCAUACUAGUAUAUGAAAUAAUAAAAAAAAGUUACACUAAUUAAAUUUUUAUUAUUUUUCUCUCUCUUUCUCUUUACUUCAACACACUUCAGGACGAAGUUAAUAAUGACGACAUUUUGAGAAAGUGGAGUUACAGGGGAGUUUAAUUUAGGCUGAAGUGAACACCAUAAUGCCUCUGUAAAGGUUGGUUUGAGGAAGCACAAGCAGAGGGAGGGGGAUCGGAGCAAAUGAAUAUUAUUAAAAUCCAUAAUCUGUGUUCAAAUAAACCGUAGGUUCCUAUAUAGAUCCAUCGCAUUAAACUUUCCAAAAGUAGUGAAAAAACUAGAAUCCUAGUAUAUUGUGAUCUUCAUCUAAGCAGGACGACCCAAUUCGGAUUCAAAAACAAAAAAUAAAAAAAAAAAUAAAAUUUUUUGACAAUGGCAAAAGAAUAAGUAAAACUGCAAUUUGGAGCUAAAAGAUGAAAUUUGGGCUCCGAAAUGAUGCUGAAGUAAAAAAAAACACAAGACACUAGGGCAUUCGGUUCGAAAUGUUGUUUCUGAAUUAGGGCUGCGUGACCAAAACGAACACCAAAGCGUAUAGUUACGGCCGUUUAACAGAACCCAAGCCCAGAUUGCAUCAAAAUGUGGGCCGUAAAAUUAGUAUGGGCCGUAAAAUUAGCGUUAAAUCCGAUAAAGCCAAUGUCAGCAACCUGUUUCUGGGAAGACAAUCUGCAAAUUGCUUUAAUUUGCUGUCACUGAAACAGUUUUGUUGAGCAAGCUAAGGAGUUCGGAAUCGUUUUAACUAUAACAAAGCAUAACGAUGUUAAAGAAACUUCAGUUGGCUCGACGUUGAUGAUGAAUCUCGUGACAUCUUCUUCUUCCCAGCUGAUCUUCUUCCUGGAUUGUUGAUCUGAAGAAGUACGAAGAAUUGGAACGGCAGGUUCAGUAGGUUUUUAGAUAAGGAGACGCUCGCGGCCUCAGCUCUCGUGAAGUUGCUGCUUUACUGACCCCGAAGAAGGAUCGAUCACCGCGAUAGUUCACCAACAGUCGAGCAGUUAUAUAACUAUAUUUUGAUACUUGUAUUGUGAUUAAAAGUAUCGCUUCUCUAUUCCUUGGUCGGACGAUGUCCUAGGUUACUUGGCUGGUGCGAGGGUGUUUUCAAAAAUUGACUCGAAUGGUCGCUGCCAUUUGCUUCCACUUAGAUCAGGUGAUGAGUGGAAGAUCACUUUCAAGACUUGCUUGUAUGAGUGGCUGGUGAUGCCUUUCGGUGUUUCUGUGAAAAACUCUAGAUUGAAAGAGGAAUUUGCUUGUGUGGGAUCGAUCAUGAUUUUCUUGUGAGUUGGACUUGGUCUUGUGAGAAGUUUCGAUUGGAUCAAGAAUGAAUUGGGUCAAGUGUGUGUGAGGGACACCGGUGAACAUAUUAGACCGAAUUAUGAUUGCGUGACGAGAAUGAAGUAAUCAAAGUGGUGAGUCUCGGGGCGUGACAUUCUGAUACUUCUAAUGCUUUUAUAAGAGUACUAGUGAAUUAUAUAUAUGCCGCAACGUUCGUUGGAACGCUCGUAGUAUUCUACUUUGAUGACAUUUAAUUUACACGUAUUUUAAGGUGUAUAUGUAGAAUUGCUCUUUCUAAGGAAGGCGUACAAUUGUCGCAUCAGUUCUUAAAGGUCAAUUGAUUAUUGAUAAAUUUUAUAGACAUUACAUCAUUGAUUUCUUAGAUAGGAAUCGGGGCGUUUUUUUAGCUGCUAAAUUUUGAUUUGAGAUGAUCUAAAAAUUGAAUAAUAAUUGUUUUUGAGACGACUCAGUAAGCUGAACCAGCUCAACAAGUAAUUACCAUGCUUGUCAUUUCUUACCAUUUGCAUUAACUGUGACAUUAUAUAUUAUAUAUAUAUAUUCACUAAUCAUGUAAUUACUUGUCGAUCGUUGGAUACAUCGAGUGAUGGACACAUGCAAUUUGUUUUUAUUAACACCUCAGGUUUUUGUCACACUUAUGUCGAUUGCCCAAAAAUAAGAAUUUCUAAACGUGCAAGCAAUUGGAACAGCAAAACAUCAAAAACAUUAUGAAAUCGAUAAUUGAAUUUUUAUUAAUUAACAAAAAAACAAUAAUACGAGGAGGAAUCAAUUCAGGUGACAUUUCCAACAAGGUAGGGUGUAUGUGUGGGUAAUUAGAUGAUAUAAAACAACUAAUUUUAGCAAACACCUGCUAGACGAUAUGUUAAACUUUAUAAAAAUUAAGAUCGUACCUUCUGUCAUGAUUUCGAUGUCUAUAUUCGAAUUGUAGACGAUGAUCCUUGCUCUUGAUUCGUCAUCGUCUACGAUGUACAAAGGCGCACGACGUUUCGAGUCUGAUUCUCUUAUUUCCAGAUAUGAAGCUGUCAUAGGAAAUAGGAUUAAGAUUAGAUCAGAACUUCCGUAUAUUACAUAUUUAUAUAUAAUUCGAUAUAAAUAUGUUAAAUCUCAUGUCCGUCCAUAAAAAACGUGUUUAGAUACAUCCUAACCGUUAGAUUUACCGUAUCUUUAUAAAUUGACUUGAAUUGGCCGACCGUAUCAUUUUGAAUAAAUGCCACAUCCGACAAACACCUACUAGAAGAUAAUUAAGCUUUUUGACUCGGCCAAAGCUUCCUGUUGUUAUGUUUACAAUAGUAAGUUUAUAACCACCACUUAUUAACAGUUGCUUAAAAGCAAGCAACUCUAGUUGGCGACAGGAACAAGCACUUCAUCAAAAAAACCAAUUAGAAAAUCAUUAAUCACUCGUUGUCACAGUGAAAACACACUAAAUAAGGGGACAAACAUGCAUACAAUAUGUGCAUUGGCAUAUUUGUUAAAGUCGACAUCAGAAAAACCAAUAUUUCAAUCCGGAGAAAAGCGUCCACAGAAGAAAUAUUAAUUAAUGAUGUUUCUGGGUUGAGAAUUUUCUCUUUCUUUACCUACUAAUUGCUUAUUUAGGUCUAUUAUGGUCUAUAAUAGUAUGUAAUCUCCAAUGCUCGAACGUGAAAGAUUAGAGUAGGAAAACAGAAAAUCAGUAUUGACCAAAUAAAUGUCGCACCAGCUUUAUCAGGAGCUGAGUUUCAUUUAUAAGGUUCACAUAAUUAAAUCCUGCUCCUAUUUUUCAGUUUUUCAGAGCCCUAUUUUUUUUUAGAAAAAUUUCAAAUGCCAUUCGUAUAAUUUUGUAUUUUCUCACUUUAGUGUCCUAUGGUUUAAAGUAUAUUACUUUCGUACACUAUGAUUUUAUUUUUUUUCUUUUUAUUAUCCGUUUUACUAAUUUUUUUUAUUAAAUCAGUGGUUAAAAUUAAAGGACACUAAAAUGAAUAUUUGAUAAAUUAUAGAUAUGGUAUCUGAAGUUUUUUGCAUAUAACUUAACAAAAAGUUAACAGAGAAACUGACGAAAAAAUAAAAUAAAAUAAAAUCACAGUAUACUAAAGCGAGAAAGUACGAAACUAUAUGAUAUUAAAAUAGAAAACCGCGAAAUUACAGAAAUAAUAUUUGAAGUUUAUUUUUUUUUCUUUUCUAUAGAAAAUCGGUCCAAUCACAGUAAUAAAAUAUAACGAUUAUAAUAUAAGCUCUUCAUUUUUGACAAAUGUGAAGUCAAAUUUUGACCGUAAAUUUGGAGGACUAAAUGAUCUCGAAGUGCCCUACAGUCUGUACUAGGCUCGAUCGGUUGCCGGACACCGACAAAUUCUUUUUUUUUUUUUUGUUUUUUGAGAGAUAGUAGUACACUAUCUGUUUCGUUUAUUUCAUUUAGAAAUAAAUUUAGCUGGAAAUGUGAAUCAAUUAGGAUUCGAGCUUGGAUUUCGGGUACCAACCAGUAAAUCCUUUGCCACUUGCUCUAGGAACAGUCGGCCACCGACAAAUUCUUGUCAAUCUGCAUGUGUGGAACCAAAAAUCGCGUUGAUUGGAAUCUAUAUGUGGAAUAUAUAUGCCCAUCCAGUAACUAGAUUCCCCAGAAUCAUUCAUUAAAAAAAAAAAAAAAAAUCCUUAACGCCGGCUUGACCGAAUCCAUGUUCGACCUAACUAAAUUUUAAAUAAGGGAUUAAAAUUUUAAGCAUUUCAUGCAACAGCCAUUUUGUUUGGGUAUUCUUAGCAGGUUUCUUAUUUGAAGCCAGUUUUUGGAUUUGAUCCUGUUCGCUGCAUGUAGUUGCAACUGUACUGCAAUUAUAAUAAUUACAUGUAGAUUUAAAUCAAGUAUUUGGUUUUAUAUAUUUGAACUCAAUUACUGUAGUUGUACUUGUAUAAUGGGGUCUAAUUACAGCAGUCGGAGGUAUGCCAAAAUUAACUCCAGCUCUAACUACAGUAAUUGGAAAGAAACUUUAAAUAAAAGAUUAGCUUAUUACCUCCCUAAUCACCUUUUAAACAGCAAUUACUUUUUCUUUUCUAUGUUGAAGGUAAUCUCACACCAAUAUAUAAAUAUAUAUAUAUUGAAAAAAUAUUUUUCAAUAGUAUGCAGCUAAACAAAUUAUCUAAAAUUACAACACUUUGUACUACACCUAACAAAAUAAAAAAUAUAUAAUUAUAAUAACUAUUGUAUUUUGAACUGUAUGAAUCUUCAACUACACUAUAUUUCUAAUUACAUCCAACUAAACGGCGACUCCAGAAUGUUUUCAACUUGGUAAUUAAUUAUGGGCAGGAAUUAAUUAACUAUUUUUAUGAGCUUUAGCAUAUACUUUAGAUCUUAUGGAAGGAGACAUGCGCGCAAAUUAAUUAAGGUGCUUAUUUUUCUAUUGUCUUAAUUCGAUUGUGGUUACACGUGGAGCUAGAGUAUUAAUUAAGAGCUUAAGAAAAUAUUUUACAUGCCAAUGAAAUUAAAGAGCGGCAACAUAUAUAGAUGCCAUGUGCUAGCAUGUACAUGCUUUCUACUUUAUAUGUAGCCAAUUAAAGUAAGUUUACAUGAAAUUAAGUAGGUAAUUAAGUACUGUUUGUUUCAAAAUGUAGUUUUCGUCUUUGCAUGUACGCAUUUAGGACACCUGCUUUAAUUGUAGUAUAUAUUUGGACUCUGUAUUUACAGGAGCCAAGUAAGCGAAGUGUUGACAUUAAUGCAUUGACAUUAAUGUCUUAAUUUAAUUAUCGUUAUAUAUAACGCAGGAAUAUUGUGGAAAACUUUGUUGUUUUAGUUAAUUAAAACAGCCUAAUGUUACAUAAUGGGCAUGUGAAACUUUGUGGUUUUAGUUAAAACGGUCUAGUAUAUACAUAAUCGGCAUGUGAUAAGUUUCAAACACUGCAGAAUAUUUAAGAAACUUUAUGUAACUGCUGAUUCAUCAGUUUGUCUUAAGCUUUUUACUGACCCCAGUAUCUACGAUCACCCCCACAGCAAGAUGGUCUAAUUAAUCUAGUACGAAAUAGACGAAUAGAUUAGAUAAUCGCUUACUAAUUUUCUUAAUAAACACGACACUAGCUAAAUCUAAAUCUAAAUCUAAAUCUAAAUCUAAAUCUACUCCACUACCUAUAUAUGCUCACAGCUGUCCAACAACUUCACCAUUUCCACCAAUAAUUUUUCCACCGCAACGUAGCAACAGUUUGAACCAUUCUCUCAUCCCACGUGUUAGGUAUGUAGUUUGACCAAGAUAUCUAUUUUGAAAAAUAUUAAAAUUAGAGGACAGUGAAAAUUUACAAAAUGGAUAGUCAAUCUAUUCAGAAAUCGAAAUUGGAUCAUGUUGUUUAUUUUAUUAGCCUGCUUAGAUCAACCUUGUCGCGAUGCUUCUGGAUCUUGCAUAUAUCUCGUAUUCUCCCACGUCUACGCCUUAAGUCAUGCAUCAAAUGCGUUAGAUAUGACAGAUACAAAUCGAAGAGAGCUACCGGAGUCCUGUUCUAUAUUCACAUUUCAAACUUCCCGAAAAUGUACGCAGGUGAAAAUUCCAUAAAAUAAAAAAUAAAGAGAGAGAAGAAGGAAGAAAUUUCUUAUACGUUUAGAUUCUCUCUCAUAGAUUGUACGAGAGUAAAAGGGGAAUGUACUUAAAAAAAAUCGAAGAUGUAUCACAUGGUCUUUGCAUGCGCUGUCACGGAAAUUACUCAUAUAUAUAUAUAUAUAUAUAUAUAUAUAUAUAUAUAUACUCUUUAAUUAGUACGUAGUGAAACUCAAAUGUAGUAUUUACUUAUUUAUCAACCAUAUUAAUCUAAUUUUCACUACUAAGCUAGAUAAUUCAAUACAUAACACCCGAUAGAGCUCUCUAUGGCUAGUGCUUGUACUAGGUAUUUAUAAAGCUCCGAUCUUAUGACUAGUGCUUGAUAUAUAUAACUAGGUGUGCAUGCGACGUGUGUGUAUAUUAUAUAUAUAUAUAGUAUAUAUAUUAUAUAUAGGCUUCGUUGCUGGCUCCACUGUACAUUACUUCUAAGUUGGUGAAUCCUAUAUUAUGUAUUAAAAUUGGCGACGUGUUGCUCGUAGGGGUCGAACGCGGGCUCCUUGGUGAGGUUUUGGACCUCGGAGCGGAACCUCUCCAUGGCGGCGAGCGGCAGGCAGACGGGCACGGCGGUGCCCUCCUCGCCCUUGUCGUUCUUGUAGCGCGAGUAGUAGUUGGCGACGCCGAGGAUGGGGCCCUCCCCGCCCUUGGCGGGGCCCCCGUAGACAGCCUCCCCCCAGCCGAAGUCGACGUCCUUGAAGCCGGCGUGGCUGAUGUCGGACACGAUGUACGUCCGCGCGACGGUGAACAGCGGCCGGCCGCGGAGAACCAUGAGGUCGGCCACCGACUGCAGGUAUUCGUAGGUGACGUUGGCCUUCGCCUUCUUCACCAGCUCCAGCGCGUACCCGAUGGGGCUGCCCGUGAGCUUCUCGGCGGUGGACGAUGCCACCGAGAAGGCGUAGGCGUUGCCGUAGUAGCCCGGCGGCACCGGGAUGCUGCUCCGGCCGCGCGCGUUGACGAUGAACGACACGCGCACCUCCUCGUCGGGGCCGUACCCGAGCGCCGCCGUGCGGCUGCGCCAGAUGCAGGACGUGAUGAGCUCGAAGCGGCUGGAGGAGGCGCGCAGGUGCGGCGGCGCCCGCUUGCGGAGCGCCGCGAUCUCCUUGGGCCCGAAGAAGAAGCGCUCGCGCACCAUCUCGCUCCGCGGCACCGCCAUCAGCCUGUCCGGCCCCCCCGCCGACGGCUCGUACUCCAGGUGCACGUGCGUCGGCCGCGGCGGGCUGCGCGCGCUGAAGAACUCCCGCGCCCACACCGGCGCCACCGACGGCGCCGCCGCCCCCCGCGCCAUCUCCCCUAUCGCCUUCUCGAACUGCAUCCCCCCCGGCGCGUCCGUUACGCAGUGAGAGAACCACUGCCCGAAUACGAAUCCUCCGCACGCCAGCCGCGUCACCUAUAUAUAUAUAUAUAUAUAUAUAUUCAGCAGAAAGAAAGAAAGAAAUAAAUAAAUAAAUAAAUAAAUAAAUAAAUGAUUAAAACAUCGUUCUUUUUCUUUUCUCUCUUCCUCCCUCGAAAUACAGUAUAAAAUCUUUCUCGAAAAGAGAGCCUUAAUAUUAAGUUAACUAAUUCUCUCUCACCUCCAAAUUUUUCUUAAUGUUUUUUUUUCUUUUUUAACAGCGUAAGUUUUUAGAAACAAACGGUAUAUAAUUUUGCAAGUAGGGUAGCGGUAGCGGUGCUGGUACCUGAAGGUAGAGCAACGGGCGGUCGAUGACGCGCUCGUCCUCGCCCGGGGCGAGAUCGAAGACGAACUGCUCGAAGCAGGGGAACGGGGGGCCCUGGACGUCGCCAAAGUCGUCGACGGUGACGUCCGCGUCGGCCUCGACGAACAUGAGGCCCUGGCCGUUGCAGUCGACGACGAGCUUCCGCCCGGCCUCCUCGCGGAGGCGGCCGGCGAGCGGGUAGUAGUAGACGAGGGCCUCGGCGAUGGCGGCGCGGAUGACCUUCGCGGGGUCCUGCCCGGCCUUGGCCGGAUCGCCGCGGUAGAGGUGGAUGCCGGCGCUGUAGAACCGCAUGCCCUCCUGGUCGUCGAGGUCCGACAGCGUCUUCACCUCGCGCGGCGUCGGCUUCGCCGGCCCCACCAGCACCGGCUUGCCGCGGCGCACUGCGACGGUCGUCAACGGCGGCGCCAUUUAAUGUAACUGAACUGAACACUACUUAAUAAUUAUAUUAUCUAUAUAUCUCAGAGCUCAGAGAUUGAAGGUGGAUUAAUUGAGCUAGCGUAGAUAGAUAGAUAGAUAGAUAGAUAGAUAGAUAGAAAGAUUGUUUAACUUGUUUGGUUAAUUAGUUUCUCACCCAAAAGGGAGCUUUAUAUAUAAAUGGGCAUCGAUCAUCAAGAGUGGGAGGGACGGGGUGGAGAGAGAGUCAAAAUGGAGUAGGUGGGUUGGUGGGAGGCUUUGGCAUGUAGUCCUCCUUGGCCUUUUCAAACUACGUGUGAAGAGCGCACGUAGGAGCAACCCCACCUACCACUUACAUGCUGCAGGGUAUAUGGUACGGCUUGGGAAUUACGAAACUGUUGUUGAUUAUUUCUAAUAUAUAGUUAUAAUAUUUAAAGAUUUAUUUCAUACAGUUCUUUUUACACUUUUUUUUUUUUUCAAAUAUUCUCUGAUUUCUAAAUAUAUCAGUCUAAAAAUUUUGGUUCAUUCAUAUACGUUCUUACCGUUCUAUUAAUUUUUUAUCGGUAAGUAAUAUAACUAUUUUGCUCUUAUAAAUUUAUUAUUGUAAAAAAAGUUAUCUUUUUUUCUCUCUCCUCGCCUUCACCGCGACAUGUGUAGCGUACUUCAUUUUUACGCCAUUGCCGUAGGAUUCAUAGUCGUUCUAGAUAAUUUGAGAUGGUGAGAAAAAUGAGGGACUUUAUAUAUAUAAUAUAUAUAAUAUAUAUAUAUAAUAUAUAAUAUAUAUAUAUAAUAUAUAUAUUAUUAGAUUCGCUUAUGGUGCUUGUAAAAGUACGAAGUAUUUGGUGCUUGUAAAUUUUUUAACCGUAGAUCUAUACCUUUGAUAAUUUUCACCCGUUAGAUUAUACUAUUCAACCAACCACCUACUCAAGCCUAUGGGGCCACAUCAUCUUAACUGCACAUCUUUUAAUCCAAGAGACUAAAAAUUACAACACCAAUAAUUGUACUUUUAAAAGAAUAGGAGCUCAAUUAUAUAUAAUAUAUUAUAUAUAUAUAUAAUCUAUAUAUAUAAGAGAGAGAGAGAGAGAGGGAGAGAAGAGAGAGAUAGGGCCACUAUGCUAUUAGGAUUACAGCAGCCCUGUGUUUCUAACUUUCUAACCACCAUCAAUUUGAUGGUGGUUAAAAAUAAAAGGGAAAAAGAGAUGUUGAGAAAAUUGGUGUCUUAAUUCUCUUAUCUUAAAUUUCUCUCAAUAUCUCUUUCCUUUUUAUUCUAACACCCAUCAAACUUGAUGGUGGUUAAAAUUAGGAGCACACGGGCUGCUGUGCUACCUAAUAAUCACAGUAACCCUACUCUCUCUCAUAUAUAUAUAAGGGCGUGUUUGGUUCGAAGUCGAGAUCGGAAUCGAAUCGAAUUCAAAAUAUAGCUGGAAUCGGAAUCGGAAUGACUCAUUACCUAAUUUGUUUGGUUCAUCACCUGAAUCGAAUCAGAAUAAAUCAUUCACCAUGUCGUGUUUGGUUCAGAUGGAUAUAAAAACGUAAUCAAAUUAAUAUACUUAACAUUAAUCUUUAUAAUAUAUUAAUUUAAAUACAAAUUAAAUAUUAAAAAUUUACAUCAAAAUUUUGAAAUAAUAUCAAAAUUUUAAAUCUAUUUUUUUUUAAAAAAUUAAACUUUGAAGUUGAGUGGAUAAUUCAAAAUAUGAGACUAAAUUUUAAUUUAUUCAAAUUCAAACUUAAAAUUAUAAUUUUAAUUUUAAUUUGAAUUCAUAAAUUUAAGUUAAGUUUGAAAUAAAAUUUGAAUAAACUUUAUGUAAAUUAAAAUUUAAUUUAAAUUCAAAUUGAUAAGUUAGAUUCAAAAUAUUUGAUUAAAUUUUAAUUUUUAAUUUAAGUUCAAAUUAAAAUUUAAAAUUAUAUAUUUAAUUUUUAAAUUUUAACUCAUAUUUUAAUUAAAAAAGUAGAAAAAAUAAAUUUAAUCCGAAUAAAUAUCGAUUCCGUAUGGAUUCAACUUCCAAUCUGACCUUCUAUGCCGGAUUGAAAAAAUGGGUGAUUGAGCGAUUCUCAUUCCAUUCGGGAAUCGGAAUCGGAAUGGGACUUCCACGUACUAAACACCCACAAACAGAUUUAUUCAUUUCCAUUCCGAUUCCAUGGUGAAAAAGAAGCGAACCAAACACGCCUACAGAGUCCGGCUGCUAUGCUAUCGAUAGCACCAAGCGCUUGGUGCUUCAAGUUUUCUGCCGUUAGAUUAAUCCCUUUGAUUAUUUUUACCCGUUCGAUUAUACUAUUCAACCAAUCAUCCAUUCAACCUUAGUGGGUCCAUAUCAUUCUAACUGCACAUCUUUUAAUCCAAUGGUGGAAAACUUAGUAGCACCAAGUAAUUGGUGCUAUUAAUAGUAUUCUAGCCAGGUUCUAUAUAUAUAUAUAUAUAUAAAAUUCAGCUACUAUCCUAUUAAUAGGAUAGAGACCAUCGUCCUAUCAAGUCGUUCUUGAUGAUAGAGAUGCCGAAUCGAUGAUCGGAACCAUUAAAGUUGAUCUAGAGUAUUUGAAAUAUUUAGAAACUAAAUUUCAAAAAUUUUAAAAAUCAUUUACAUGGUGAUCAAAGAAUCGUAAAAUCGACAAUUUUUGACGGCCUAUAUGAGCUGUUUACUUGUUUAACGGUGUAGAGCAAUCUAAACUGUUUGAAUUUUUUAUAAAAUUUUUUUUUAUAUAAUUUAGAUAAUAUUUGAUAACUUUGAUCACAAUUUGAGAAAGUCUAACAUCUAUUUUAAGAAGGUUAUUCAUUUAUGACCGUUAAUUUUUUCGACUCUUCGAUAGACUUAAUAAUGAUUUUUUAAAAUUACAAAAUUCGGUUUUUAAUAUUUCUUAUAGUGUAGAUCAAUUUNAAUGAUUUUUUAAAAUUACAAAAUUCGGUUUUUAAUAUUUCUUAUAGUGUAGAUCAAUUUUAACUGUGCCGAUUAUCAAGUCUCAAUUCUAUUAAGAGACUCUCUGUCUUAUAUAUAUAUAUAUAUAUAUAUAUAGAGAGAGAGAGAGAGAGAGAGAGAGAGAGUAAAAAGGUUAGUUUAUUUUUUCACUAAUUGUGGUUAGUUUUUAAAACUCAUGGUUAUCUAAAUUUUGAUAACAGAAAAAUAUAUUUUUAGACGGAAGAACUUUAAUGGAGGGUUAAAUUGCAUAACUUAAGUUUUAUAGGGCUAUAUAUUUGCUAUUUGACACCUUUUAGGGAGGCAUAUAUAAUUAUUCCAUAUUUAAAAUCAGCAGAAAUAAAAUUAAUUUUAUAUUUUAAAAAAUUAGGUUAUUUUGAGAAUAAAAAAGUAGCAUUUCUAUAGUUAGAUUAGAAUACUGAGAAUAAAAGUAAUUAUAAUUUUAUAAUAAUAAUAUUUUAUUUAAUUAAUUAACAUAAAAAUAUUAAUUAAAUAAUAAUUUAAUUUAUUUAAUUAACUAAGGAAUCAUAAAUGUUUCUAGAUAAUCACAAAUGUUAAUCAAUUAAUUAAUUAAUUAGUUAAUUAUUUAAUAGUUCAUUAAUUAGUUAAAAAAUAAUUAUAUUAGUCAAAAUAUUAAUUAGUUAAUUAAUAUGAAUAUUAGUUAUUGCAUAAACAUUCUAAAUAAUUAAAUUUUCAAUUAUCUAAUUAGUUUUAAAUAAUAAAUUAAUCACUCAAAUAUUUAAUUAAAAAUUUAUUAGAGUAAUAAAUUAUUAUCUAGUUAAUUUAAAAAUUAAAUAUAAUAUAUUGAUUAAUUGUAUUUUAUCAUAAAAUUAGUAUAUGUAUAUAGAGAAAUUAUAGUUCCACCAAAACCUCAAUAAUUUUUUUUUGGGGGGGUUGAAAAUAAGGAGUAGAAUAAGGCCCUGAUUCCUCUUAUUCCUCUCUUAGUUCCCGAACCAAAUAAUACCCUCGGAAUUGUAGCAUAAUAAUUAAGGUCCUACUAAAUAAUGCCAAACAGAUCCUUUUAUCUGUAAGAACUCAAGUUAUCGAAAAAAUACACUUUUAUUUUUUUUUUUGAGAAAAAAAAAUACUUUUAUUAAUAUUUUUUAUUCUAUUGCGGUUUUGCAUAUUUUUGUUUUAUCAUCUCAUGCUUCAGAAAGUUAUACUUUACGUACUCCAUGGAUUAGCCGUGUUUUUAUUUUGCCACGGUGUGGUUCAAUAAUUUAUACUUAAUUGUCCCCCUGCGUUAAUGCAUUUUUACUUUGCUAUCUUUGGUUCAAAAAUUUAUACUUAACUAUUAGUUGGUCCUUAUUUUUGUGUUAUUGUAACCAUUUAUUCUUGAACAGGAUACCACCAUGUAACAUUAGUAAUAAACUAAUUGUAAUAGAUAUUAGUAAUAUAUAACAAAUCUUUAGAAUAUGGCAAAAUACAAAACAAAUAUGCUUAACAUUAAUUAUAGUUUCAAACUAAGCAUAUGUAGCAGGUGAAAUUGGAGAGAAUAUUAUCAAGGUGCUUCAUGGAUCAAUCUUAUCCACUUCAAUAACUUUGGGCCCACCUUUUUCCACUUCUGCGUAGUUUACGCCAUUUUUGGUCGAACCCACGCGUGCUAAAUCCCCAAUAACGAAAUUUAAAAAUGUUGGAAGGUUAGAGAGAGAGAGAGAGAGAGAGAGAGAGAGAGAGAGAGAGAGAGGAUUCACUCAAAGCUGUUUUUUUACCUUAUUUUUCUACAUGACCUUUGGGAAGAUUACUAUUUAAGUUUAGUUAUUAUUAAUAUAUAGUACGUACGUACUUAAAUUUAUUUAUUAUUAAUAGUGAUUUAAUGUUCAUUUUUUAUCGCUAUAUAUAACGAUCUAGCCUACUUGUAUAACUAACUUAUUUUUCAUUCAGCGUAGGACGUCUUUCUAUGUUUAGAGCCUAAGCUUUUUAGAAUGUCAAUGCUUUAAGUCCAAUUAUUAUUAUUAUUAUUAUUAUUAUUAUUAUUAGUGAAUAAUUAGUUUAGUCAUUAUUGCUAGUUAUUUAUAAUUUAUUUUCCAUCUAUGUGUGUAAUGAUACAGCUUGCUUACACAAAUAUCCAAUAUAGGACUAUUACUUUUAGGUCAUGACCCUAACAACAUUUUAGAACAUCAAUGCUUAAGCUCAGUUAUUAUUACUGGUAAAUGCUUAUGUUCAGUUAUUAUUACGACUAUUGGGUUGUCACAAGUUUUUACAAUUCAUUUUUCAUUAAUUUAUUUUUAAUCCGAUGUGGAAUUUUAUGUGGGACUAUUGAGCAUCUCAAAGAUUCACGGGGUGUUUAGAGUCCAUUUAUUUUGUUUCCAAUAUGGACUAUUGCAGUAUUACAGAUUCUCCCUUUUAGACUCUAACACGCGUCUUCGUCAUGUCUCGUUUUCUAGUCCAACGAUUCAGCCCAUUAGAAUUAAUAAUUUGUUGGGUUCAAACUAUCGGUCUAAAAUAUUUAAACUUAGUUAUUAUUAAUAAAAACUCUCAAUCCUUAUAUUUCUAUUCAUAAAUUUUUUCACACCAAUGCCGAAUUAUUAAAACGAAGCGUCGAACUGCUUCCUAAGGUCUCUCUCGAAAUGAUACAUUUCACUUUUCCAUUUCGUUAUUAUCUUUAUAAUUAAUAAAAAAUUAUGAUCCAAUUAUAUUCCUAUUUGUUUUAUAUUUCUAGCUAAGCUGUCCAAAUUGUAGUUAAUUAGAAAGUGGUUUUAGUCCGAGACCUUUGGUUACUAAUUAAUUAAUUAAGCAGUUCUUGAUUUAAUAGAAAAUGAGAGUACCCCAUUAUUCUUUUUAUAUUUUAAUUGUGUUUACAAAAAGUAGUUAUAUAGGAUGCAACCAUAUAGAAGAUACACUUUUAUUUUUUAGGCAAAAUUGUAGUAAUCAUAUGUUAACAACCCAUACACAUACUAUAUAUUAUAUUAUAUAUUUAAAAUAAUGACAAUCAAUUCAAAUCAAACCUAUAUAAUUGAUUGGCCAACUUGAUUCGGUUAACCGACUCAAAAUCUCUAGCAUAUUUAAAGAAGAUUUUUAUUACAAUCUCUCAAUAAAGUUCACAAUUAUAAAAUUAAAGAACAAAAAAACAAUUAUCACUUAGAAAAUUUUUCUAUACGAGCCAUAUCAUUUCAAAAUUGGAAAAUAAGCAUGAUAUAAGAGCAAAUGCUUUUCAUUUGAAUUUCAACUGUACUUGAAAAUGCAUUUGAAUUAAUGUCAUAUUCCAAAAUUCUUUUGAAUUCAUACAUUUUCAAAUCAUAUUUGAAAUUAUACUACAUUCGAAAAGCUCAUUUGAAAUUAUACCACUUUGGUAAAACUCUUUUUUCAUACCAUAUUUAUAAAUUGCUUUUGAGUUAAUACCGCAUUUGUAACACGCUUAUGAAUUAAUAUCAUGUUUGUAAAACUCGUUUAUAUCAUAUUUCAAACUUUUUAAAAUUAUAUUUUUUGAAUUCACACCAUAUAUCAAAUAUCUUAUUAAUACAUAUUUUAUUGAAAAUAAUGGCCAAUUCGUUCAAAUCAAACCCAUGUAAAUAUGUAAUAGAUUGGUUAAUUAACUUGAUUCGGUUAAAAGACUCAAAUCCGAUAAAAUUGCAAAAAAUCCUCUAAAGCAUAUAUUAUUGUGGCACAUGCAUCCAAUUUGAUACAAUUUGAUCUUGUUCAUUUUGAACAGUUGAUUGAAUGAUUAUUUUUAAUCAACUCCGGCUUCAGCUUGGGUCAUUUCAAAUCCAACUAAAAUCUGAAAUUACUGAAUGACAAAGUAAAUUUAAACUUUAUUUUUUAUUAUUAUCAGACUUUAUUAAUUAUUGGAUGAAUCCAACAUGAGUGACAUACACAAAUAUUAAACAUAGUGGGGAAUAUUUAUUUAUAUAUAUUAUGCAGGUUUGUACACAAUGUUUAGUUGAGCUGCUGAGGUCCUGCUAUGCUAAAAUGUAGGUCAGCACACAAUAAUGCAUGACUUAAUCAUCCUGAAAAUUAGGUAAAUUAAUUUACAGUACUUGCCCCUUUUUCUUCUUUGAUGUGUACUUAAUUUGCAUUCAUAAUGUUGUGGUUGGUGCACCAACUUUGUUGAAAAUCAAAAAAAAAAAAAAAAAUGAGGUGGAUCAUUUCCUACGUAUAGGAUGCAUCUUAAUUACUUUGAUGUAAAAUCAAAUCCCCACACUGGAUUGUAGACCAAGCCAUUUAAUUAAUUCCAUGUGAUAUCGAAAUUAAUCAUCCACCUCAUUUUGUUGAAAAAUUUAAAUAAGAAUUAAUUGAUUCGUGGAAAAAAUUUCAAAUCCUUUGACGGCUGAUGCGGUCAAUCUGCAGGCGUAAGUCUCCUUUUGGAUAGGUCAAAAUAAAUUUAGAUUGAAAUAUCCCAUCGGCCAUUUUUAGGACGUUGUUCGAUUUUGACCGUUCAUUUUAUGCACGUUUAAUGGACUUUAUUAUGAUUUCAAAAAAUUAUGAAAUUUAUUCUCUAUAAAUUUUAAAUAUUUUAGAUCAUUUUUAAUUAUAUGGAUCGUCAAUUUGAAAGCUCUAUCACUGAAAACAACUUACAAUUUGAAAGCUCUAUCACUGAAAGCUCUAUCAUAUUUAAUUGUAUGGUGGUAAGUGAUUGUAGAUGGAAUAGUUUUUGAUCCAAGGGGUAUUAAUAAUUAAGGAGUAGAUUCAAGGGCUAGAAACUUAGAAGCACCAAAGGAUUGAUGCUUCUAAAAAUAUUCUAACUCAAUUAUAUAUAUAUAUAUAAUUAAUUAAUUUUAAUUUUUGUGUAUAGGACGCAUAAGCUACUGUCUAUCUAAAAUUGUUAGAUAAAAUAGAGUUAGAAAAAAAAAUAUGGAAAAUUUUUUUUGCGUUCUCGGAUGGAAUUCCGACUAAUCGCAAUAUACGAAACACAAUAUCAAAUACAAAAAUAAAUAAGAUAUUUUUUCAUUAUACUUUCUCACUGCACGUAAUGCAAUUUUUUCGCAAGCCAAACGAAGCCUAAACUGAUCCAAGCGAGUCACGACUCGCGAGUUCACCAACCGGCCGAGGGGAGAUUACGACCGCACGCAUCAGUGCUGCUGACCGUUGACGGGCACGCAAAUUAAAAUGCCGUCCAGCAACUCCUGGCCACGCCAGCGCCCCCACGGGCCCCACCACACCAAUCCCAUCCAUCCUGAGCCUCGGGAAUUUAUUAUUAUUAUUUUUAUUAUUUUUAAGGAAAAACUUAUUAGUUGUCACCAGUCCAUCCAUCGCUCGCAUUGACUACACGUGUGUGCACCCAAUUAAUCUUAUAUAAAUCAAUUUAUCACUAAUAAAAUAAAUUUCAAAUUGCCCGUGCUGUGUUAUACUCAUAGUUAGUUAAUUCAGAUUCCACAAAUAUAAGACACAAGUAUAAUUCAAAUAAAAUUUAUAUCUUAAUUUUUAAAUUUGUUAAAAAAUACAAUGUAAAAAAUAGAUAUGUCAAUUAUUCAGACACGCAAUUUAUAUUGAUAUUAUAUGUUCACGUAAGGAUUUAAGCGCCAUGGCGCGGGGUCGUGCCAGAAAUUUACCGACACGGUACAACAUGGUGUGUGUCGAGCCGUGCCGAUGCGUGCAUGUCAAAAAAAUUCUUGUGUACCGACACAUAAUAGUAUGAAAUAUUUAAUUUCUUUAGCAACAGAAUAUUAUAACUAUUUAUUAUGUCUUUUUAUCACAUCUUUUGAACUUUAUUGAGUAAAUUACUUACUAAUUUAAAGAAUAGAGAAUUUUGAACUGUGCCAUCGGCACGGGAUUUGUAUCGUGCCGGUAUCCUGUUGGCACGGUACGGUAUGGUGGAUACGGCCCGUGCCGACGGAUACUUAAAACCUUGCGUUCACCAAUUAAUAAUUCCAGAUCAAAAAUUCGGCUGUUAAACUAAGUUUUUUUGUCUAAAUUUAUAUUACUAGCAUAUAUACAUAGUUAUAGAUUCUUAAGAAUAUAUAAAAAAAAAGAGCUAUAAAAUAAAGUAAAUUAAAUAAAAUAAAUAAUAGCAAAUUUUAUUGUCGUCUCCAAAUUUAUCUUUUUCAUGAUACAUAUAUUUCAAAAGUUCAUGAAGUUUUUCAAUAAUUCGCGAAGGCGGAAAGAAAUUUUAUCCAAAAAAAAUUGCACGUUUUCUUGGCCGAAUAGUUCGAUAUAUGCGAAUUAUUUGCGAAUAAUAAAUCUAAUCUAAAAAUUCGGAUAUUAUUCUGAUUUUUUGGAAAUAAAUCGUAUACAGACCGUUUUAUUCGAAUUUUUAAUAAUUUGCGAAUAAUUUACGAAUUAAUUAACUAUGAGUACAGUGUAUUUUCACUUUGUCCUUGUUGUUGGCUUAAAAUUACCAACUUUUUGUUUUGUGAUGGAAGAUAAGUUGGAUCGAGUCACAUUCGAAGUGAAUUUAUUUGUAUUUUUUUAAUCAGCUCGAGGUCUUGGAAUUAAUUAUAUAUUAGCGCCAAUAAUGCGACACCUCAGUAGUUUAAAAAAUUUUUAUUUUGUCAUUCUUGAAAAAAUUAUACUUAACUGAUGUGUGCUUAGUCAAAAUUUUUUAUAUUUUAUCCUAUUUAAUAAUAAAUUUUUGUAGCGAUAAAAUUACGGAAUAACCGAAUGCAACUUUGUAUGAAAAGGCCCAAAAAAUGAGAUAAACUCCCUGGUGCAAUUUGAAGUUUACCUUUUUGUUAUAUAAUGAUGAGAUGAUGUGUGGUCUAAUUAAGAUUACAAUAUAUUGUAAUUUUUUACCCAUCAUCUCUAGCGCAAAUGGUAAAAGAUUUGAUGGUUGGUAUGCGAGGUCCUAAGUUUGAAUCCUAGUUGAUUCACAUUUUCAGCUAAGUUUAUUUCUAAAUGAAAUAUACGAAGCGAGUAGCAUGCUACAUAUCUUUCAAAAAAAAAUAAUAUUGUAAUUUUUCGUGCAACUGAUCUCAAAUGGUGUAAUUUUAUAGAUUGAUUUAGAUAGUCACUUGAUAGUACUUAAUUUGUUUAUUGUAUAAAAAUAAUAUAUAUAUAUAUAUAGUCCGACUGGGAUAGUAUCGAUAGCACCAAAAAUUUGGUGGUAUCAAGUUUUCCACCGUUAAAUUUAACCCUUUGAUUAUUUUUACCCGUUAGAUUAUAUACUAUUCAUCCAACCACCCACUCAACCCUAGGGGGCCCCCAUCAUCCUAACCGUAUAUUUUUCAAUCGAAGAGCUAAAAAACUAAUAGUACCAACAGCUUGGUGCUAUUAAUAGUAUUCCAGCCUAGUUCUAUAUAUAUAUAUAUAUAUACGCUCUCAGGAGUACGGAGGCCUCCGUGCUCCUGAGCGGUUUUCGAUAAUGGAAUUUUCGAAUCGACGAUCGGCUCCGUUAGGCUUGAUCUAGCGUAUUUGAAAUUUCUAGAAAAUAAUUUUUGUGAUUUUUAAAUAUCAUUUACCUAGUGAUCGAAAGGAUUCAAAAUCAAUAAUUUUUAAUGGUUGAUAUCUGCCGUUUUCAAGUUUAACGAUGUAAAAGUAUUCAAAUCAGAUAAAAUUUUGAUACAAAAUUUUUUAUACUAUAUAUAACAAAUUAAUAUUUCUGAUCGAAAAUUUUAGUGUUAUAUCACCAUUUUUAUAGAAUUUUUAUUUUCAGCCGUUAAAAAUUAUUAAUUUUGAAUCCUUUCGAUUGCUAGGAAAAUGAUAUCGAAAAAUCGCAAAAAUUAUUUUCUAGAAGCUUCAAAUACGCUAGAUCAAGUCUAAUGGAGCCGAUCAUCGAUUCGGAAAUUCCAUCAUGGAAAACGGCUCAGGAGCACGGAGGCCUCCGUGCUCUUAAGAGCACAGCAGUCCUGCUCUCUCUCUCUCUCUCUCUCUCUCUCUCUCUCUCUCUCUCUCUCUCUCUAUAUAUAUAUAUAUAUAUAUAUAUAUAUAUAUAUAUAUAUAUAUAUAUCUUUCUUAUCACCCUCUUUUAAUAGUAAAAAUAUAAUAUUGUGCAAAUAAUGUCAGAUAUUAUUUUGAUUCUUCCAUUGUCACAUAAUAUUAAAGAAUUUAAUGGAAUGGUUGUAUUUCUAUGUUGCAUAAUAUUUUCUCCUAUUUAAUUUUGUUUAUUCCCUACCAUUUCAACCGGUCAUGAGAAAGCUAAUUGCAAUAUUAAGCCGCAAAAUAACACUUUUCUAUUGGCUACAUUCGAUGGUUAAGUUUUACACUAAAUUACGAAAAUUUUCUUACAUUUUAUCUCCUAUUUUAAUUAUCUUCUUGUAGAAAAUUUUACUUUAUUAAUUUCAACUCCACAUUUUAUUACUGUAUCAAAUAGGUCCAAAAAUUUUUGAGGAUCGAUAAAAUUGGGUGUGAAAUUUAAUAAAAACUAGUUGGUAGAUAAUCAUUAUAGUAUUCAAUAAAAUAUAGUCGCAUAAAUUGAUCAUAAGUUGUUCCGUAAAUAGCCAAUUUCGAUAGCUUUAAUUGAAAAGAAAAUCUCUUCACAUAAGUUAAGAUACAUUAUAUAAGUAAUUGUUCGAUUAUUUAUUUUUUUUUUUUUGAGAAAAAGGUAGCACGGUACCCGCUUCAUUCAAUCAGAUAUAAACUAAGCUACAUGAAUGGGGCAACUCAGGCCUCGCGAUUGGUGAAAUAAAAAUAAAAAUAAAGAUAAAAAUACCAAAAAUUAGAAAUUAGAAAUACAUUAAAGUCUCUCCACAGUGCGCAGCUUCUCCACAGACUCGUUAGUUGUUUAAUCUUAACAAUGCCAAUGAAGGGAUCAGGCUGUGUCGUCUUGAAGAUCGCUCCGUUCUUGAUCUCCCAAAGAAUCCACCAACACGCUAUUGUUCGAUUAAUAUAGAACGAGCAUUUGUGUAGUUUUGCAUGCGAAUUUGAUAAUCGAUUAAUUUUCCCCGGUUUUUGGGAUCUAUUUAAAAUAAAUAGUAGUGAAUUAAUUCAAGGUUCAACUGAAGCAAAAUUUAUGCAGGUUAACAAUUGAGGCUUGGAGUAAAGUGCAAGGAGGAAUCUUAACUAUAACUAAUUAAGUUUAAGGCCAUAAUUUUCAUUAAUAAUUAGUUAGCAUGUAGUCAUCAACCCCUUCUUUUUUUAAUGAUUAUUCUUUAUCACACUACGAUUUCAUAUGUAAAUAUCUUAUAAUCUCCUCUUUUCAAAUGAGAUUAAACGAAUUAAAUCUCAAUUCAUGGUUUUCCAAUUAAGCAUUCUAGUUGAUGUGCCCACCUAUGCCAUUAAUUUUGUUCUAACGUAUAACCUUGCUCUAUUAAGCUAUUAGAUAUUGCGUCUGCUUGGACGCACGGUCGUGCACAUGUUUGCAAUACGCAAUCGCAAAAAAGCGGCCUUUUUAAAAAAGCUUCAACUUUUGAGUUUUCUCAAAAGCUGUGCGAGCAUGCUAUACCGCCAAGUCAAACAGGUUCACAAACUAUUAUUUUUAUAUUUUCAUAACUUGUUUUCAUGAAUUCUGCUAGAAAUGAGCAUAUAACUUUAUGAUUAGAUGUAUUUUCAUCUAAGCUAAGUUGGUUUGGUCGUGCCGGUAUUUUAAUAUGCUGAAAAAUAUUCCCAUCCAUGAAUGGGUCAUCACUAAAGCCAAGAUUAGGUUGCGAUAUCUGCUGGCACAACAAGAAACCAUUGGUCGGCCACUAAUGGGACCCACUCAUCACUUCCAAUCAAAAAGCUACUACCAAACAUAGUUAGUUAAUUCGGAUUCGGCAAAAGUUCGGUACGGGUAUAAUUCGGAUAAAAUUCGUCUUCUAAUUUUUAAAUUCGUUGAAAAAAUCGGCUAAAAAACGGAUUAGUUAAUUAUUCGGAUACGUGAUUUAUACGGAUAUUAUACGUUCACCAAUUAAAAAUUCGGGAUCAAAAAUUCGGCUAUUAAAUUAAAUUUUUUCCUCUCAAAAUUUAUACUAUUAGCAUAAAUAUUCAUAUUUUUUAAGAAUAUAAGAAUAAAGAACUACAAAAUUAAAUAAAAAAAUAAUAAACUAUAUUAUGCCUAAAAAAGAAUAAAUAAUUAAGCAAAUAAGAGAUCAAGAUAGUCCAUAUUUAAAUGUAAAAUACAAGAGUUCAUAAAUUCUAAAGUCUAAAGUAGGCAUGGUCCCUAGGUUAAUUAACAUUAUUUAGCUCUAUGUUUGGGUCUUAAGUUCUUAACAAUUUAAGGUGCACAACAGAGAAUGGACACAUUCAAUUUAAGCACUCGAGCCAUUUGUGUAUAAAAAAGUAUCCAUCAGAUGGACUAAAAGCUUCCAACUUUUGCUUUAAAAAAUGAAAACUCAAAUCGUACUUGGUUUGUAAAGAACCACCUUAUUACUGAUCUACAUAACGUUGGAUAGCGGAAGCGGAAGAGGAAGAGGCGACGGGGAGGGUUUCGAUUUCUGAAGAGUGAAGAACUCGAUCUUCGAUUUCUGAAGAGGGGGCUUCCGAUUGCGUUCGGCGAGCAGCCGGAAGGGAAGAGGGGGAGGGGAAGGGACCGCGACCGCCGCACGGGUCGGUGGCAGGGCCGCACCGCCGCAGGGGUGAGAACUUAGGGCAAACCCUUUUUUGGGAGGGGUGGGGAUGGGGGUGGGGGUGGGAGUUUGGGAGAUUGGGAGAGGGCGAUUUCAGAGAAGGUUUUUUUUUUUUUUUUUUUUUUUGUUUUUGAGAGGCGAACUCUUUUCUGUUUUGGGCCAUGCACGAAGCCCGCGACCGCAUCGCAGUCGCAGCAACGGCGACGUUUUUUUGAUCCGAAUUAUUCGCGAAUCCGUUUAAUUCGCGAAUAAUUACUUUUACUCAAUAAAACGCGAUUUUUUCCGAAUUUUUCCCAAAAGUUCGAAAACGGACGUUUUAUUCGGAAUAUCAAAAAUUCGCGAAUAAUUCGCGAAUAAUUCGCGAAUUAACUAACUAUGCUACCAAAUUGCCACC